Molecule: long non-coding RNA, 905 nt
Organism: Gossypium raimondii (Peruvian cotton)
Lineage: Eukaryota; Viridiplantae; Streptophyta; Magnoliopsida; Malvales; Malvaceae
Exons: 3
Source: RefSeq, a predicted model, not a curated record
AAAGCCUUUUUUCUGCGCUAUCUUGUGGUGUAGAACCCUUAGGUGGAUUUGCCUUGGAGGAUAUUUGAAGGAUUUGGAUGCUGUCGUUGAGCUAUUUAGGGCUUCACAAAUGAUCACACAUCCAAAUGAACAAUUCCUGGAGAAACAUAUCUCGUGGGCAAGUCAUUUCUUGAAACGGGGAAUUAUCCAACGCUACUUAAUUUGCAUAUAAACAUAAACAAAAUAUUAUGCAGGUGAAUGAUGCCCUUGAGUUUCCCCAUUGCCAAGUUUGGAGCGGUUCGUAUACAGGAGAAACAUAGUGAACUAUGCUGUUGAUGAUAUACGGAUGCCUUUAAAUAAAUAAUAGUGUAUACCUGAUUUGCAUUCUUCGAGUAUUGGCAACAAAGAUUUCCUUAGACUAGCAGUGGAGGACUACAAUGCCUGUCAAUCUAUGUAUCGUGAAGAACUCAAACAACUGGAGAGGUGGGUUCGAGAAAAGCGAUUGGACAAACUGAAGUUUUCCAGGCAGAAAUUAGCACACUGUCACUUUUCUGCAGCUGCAACCAUAUGCUUUAAGGUACGCUUCUCUUCGGACUAAUAACACGGGUAUCUUUGCACAUAAUUCAUGGUACCAAUUCAGAUCAUGUAAAUCAAGAAAUGAAGCAUUUAAUCGAGGAAAGGAGGAGAGAGUGCUUAGAUUAGUGUUGCAGGAGAACGGUAGCAUCGUGCCGAGACAAUGCAAGGAAUUAUUCUGGAAAUUGUGCAAAGUAUUACAUUUUACCUCACAUGAGCCAUACUUGUACACCAUUUGUAGAUUAGCCUUUUAUGUGAUAGUAUAGGCCAGAUAUGGUAAACUAAUAUUGCAAAAUCAUGGUUGAUUACCUUUCUAUGCCAUAUGGGUAAAGCAGAUUAUGAUGGAGUGCAAA